UACGGAGGAUCCAAGCGUUAUCCGGAUUUAUUGGGUUUAAAGGGUGCGUAGGCGGAACUUCAAGUCAGCGGUGAAAGUUCCCGGCUUAACCGGGGAAUUGCCGUUGAAACUGUUGUUCUUGAGUGUAGACGAGGUAGGCGGAAUUCGUGGUGUAGCGGUGAAAUGCUUAGAUAUCACGAAGAACUCCGAUUGCGUAGGCAGCUUACUAGGCUACAACUGACGCUGAGGCACGAAGGUGCGGGGAUCAAACAGG
This 253-nucleotide ribosomal RNA is filed under the name uncultured bacterium. RNAcentral describes it as "partial 16S ribosomal RNA". It matches the Rfam family "Bacterial small subunit ribosomal RNA", at positions 524 to 776 of the family's 1533-position model. The record is from RNAcentral.